ACUAUAGUUACAUUUAGGAUUAAACUAGCAUUUAUUACUUAAUACUCAGUAAAAUAGGUCAAGUUUGAAUAUUAAACUUUUUCGCUAUAGCUAGCUAGACUAAAAGCAUGAAAGGAGCUGGGUGAAAAGUCAAAACUUAAAGAGGAAAAUUACAUCACAUAUUUUAAGAUUAUACUACACAUAUUUGAGAACACCUGAAAAAUGCAUUGUUCAUCAAGUUACCCCAUAUGGCUAAUAUGGAAGAUUUCUUCAUAAAAAGCAUCAAAACUUUUUUCAUGUGGAUUACUUUUACAUUAACAAAAAUUUAAAAUUUGAAGAUAAACUUUUGCGAUUUUGUCAUUCAUUAGUUUUCAAAUUUCUCGCUGGAAAUUUUUAAGGUUUAUAACCCAUGUCUCACAGUAACUUUUUCGUUCUAUCGUAAUGUUAAUACAUGAGUUGUGCAACAACUUUUGCAGGAAAAUAAAAACACAUCAAGAGAAAAAGUUUGUUAUUAAAGUAUUAUAAACUAGUUGUUAGCCCGUGGAAAAUCCACGGUUCGCCCAUCCUUUUUAUACUGCAUUGCGUGCUUCUCGCUAUUGCACAGCUAAGCUACCAUUUUGCGUGACAGACAGAUGUAUACGGGUAUUAUAAUAUAGAUUAAUUUCAAACCGAUUAGUCCCUGCAGUCAUUUUGGUGUCAGCGGUAUGAAAAACUAUGCAACUAUACUAAGUAAAAGUCCUAUUACUUCAGUAAAAAUUAAAAUAAUGACUUGAAACGUAGUAUUACAUGUUUUUAGACCAGUUUGAUGAAAUGAACCCAAAAAUUUUUUUUACUACUAUCAUAGCUUCUGAGUUCUUAAUUUUGGCCAUUUUUGGAGACGCCGAUAAACUUUUUUUGACAGCAUAUCAAUUUUGACAAGCCAUGUGUACCGAAAACAUUCUAAGUGAUUCUCAGGAUUAAAAAUAAUUCAAACAGAUAAAAUGUGUCCCAGGUUUAGGACUAAAUACCUUAUCCAGCUCAGAGAAAGUGGGAAUGAGCUUCUAAAGCACAGUGUUAAAUACAUAAUCUAAAUUUUAUGCCGUAUAAAUACAAAGUGGUUAGAAAGUUAUUUUUUGUACACCUGGAUCUGCAACACGUUUACUUGGCACUAAUCGCCCAGUCUGGUGCCACUCACAAUUAAUUUUUGAAUAUCCACAGGAACUUUUUAUGCAAAAUGAAAAAUGCUAAACAACUGUAUUUGCUUUGCAGAAGUAACAAUAGGCUUUAUCUUUAUCAUAAGUCGUGUGAAUGUUGGUUUAUGAAAAAGAUAUUAUACCCUUAAUGCUAUAAGUGCUCUUCUGGAUUUGUAACACAUUACACUAAGUGUCCUCCAUGUGAAACAGUUUACUCUUUACUAAGUCUUAACCUGAAGACUUUAGGUCUUCCCACUUCAAGUGAAUAUUACUUCUGGCUAUACUUUCCCAAAUUUUGUUAUUUCAUAAAAGAAAACUGAAAAUCUACAAAAUUAUUUUUAUAUAUGUGCAGAAAUUUAUUUAUGAAAUAUAGGUUUCAGUUUGUUGUGGAAACAUGUUUACCAACAUGCAAUGUCUUGCAUACCUAACUAGCUAUAUACUCAAGUCUUGAAUGUUCACUGUUAUGGGAGGUCCAAAUAACUACCUAGCUUUUUUUAUUUAAAAUGACAGAAUGCCUUAAAAAAUCUUUUGUGCAGCUAGCUACAUUAAAGCAAUAUAUUUAGCUUUUGUACUUUAUCACUUAAUUAUUUAAUAACAAAUGCGCCCUGGAGUGCUGGCAUGGUACUGGCUAGGUAGCUUAAAAUCACAAAAUAAAUAUUAUCCAGAUGUGACCAUCCCUCAUCAUCAGACAUCAGAACGGCGUUUAUGCUCUUUACUUCUCAUUGUAGGGUACCUCAAAUUCUUGUAAAUCCAAUUAACAAAAAUUACUUAAGAAUUCCUCUUCUUGUAUAUUUGCAGCUUAUUGACACCCUCUUAUUUUAGAAUAUUCUCAGAAAUAAUAGACCAAAAGAAAUUACAUCACAGUUUCUUGUCCACCGCCCACGUGUGUUUGAGAACAACCCACACAAAAAAAUUGUGUGCAAUGGGAGUGAGUGAUGUAAUCUUUCAAUGCGUGUGAUGAAAAGAAAGCGAAACCGUUAUUGUUUUUUCUGCCAAAAAUUUAUUUAAUAAAUCUUGAUAAAGUUAAAAAACUGUUUUGA
Molecule: long non-coding RNA, 2191 nt
Organism: Hydractinia symbiolongicarpus
Lineage: Eukaryota; Metazoa; Cnidaria; Hydrozoa; Anthoathecata; Hydractiniidae
Exons: 2
Source: RefSeq, a predicted model, not a curated record